Hordeum vulgare subsp. vulgare (domesticated barley) is the source of this 137-nucleotide non-coding RNA. The record is from Rfam. Lineage: Eukaryota; Viridiplantae; Streptophyta; Magnoliopsida; Poales; Poaceae.
ACUGUCUGAUGCAGAAAUCACCUCCAAGAUCCUUGCUGGUCUCGACCUAGAGUACAACCUUGUCGUUUCAGCGCUUGCGGCUCGGGUUGAACCGAUGUCUAUUCAGGGGUUGUACAACCAGCUCUUGAGCUUCGACG